Molecule: ribosomal RNA, 542 nt
Filed under: uncultured eukaryote
Lineage: Eukaryota
Description: SSU rRNA
Rfam family: Eukaryotic small subunit ribosomal RNA
Source: RNAcentral
UGUAUUUAUUAGAUUAAAAACCAAUGCCCUUCGGGGCUCCUUGGUGAUUCAUAAUAACUUAACGAAUCGCAUGGCCUUGUGCCGGCGAUGGUUCAUUCAAAUUUCUGCCCUAUCAACUUUCGAUGGUAGUAUAUGGGACUACCAUGGUUUCAACGGGUAACGGGGAAUUAGGGUUCUAUUCCGGAGAGGGAGCCUGAGAAACGGCUACCACAUCCAAGGAAGGCAGCAGGCGCGCAAAUUACCCAAUCCCGACACGGGGAGGUAGUGACAAUAAAUACUGAUACAGGGCUCUUUUGGGUCUUGUAAUUGGAAUGAGUACAAUUUAAAUCCCUUAACGAGGAACAAUUGGAGGGCAAGUCUGGUGCCAGCAGCCGCGGUAAUACCAGCUCCAAUAGCGUAUAUUAAAGUUGUUGCAGUUAAAAAGCUCGUAGUUGAACCUUGGGCCUGGCUGGCCGGUCCGCCUCACCGCGUGCACUGGUCCGGCCGGGUCUUUCCUCCUGGGGAGCCGCAUGCCCUUCACUGGGGUGUGUCGGGGAACCAGG